AUACAAACUGCAGUGUUUUAUGUAGUUUCAGACAUUUUACUUGUAAAUGUUCCCGACUAUUUAACAGCCAUUUAUAUCAUGUUUAGAUGUUUAGAUUGCAGCCAACAUCUCUUCAGUUUGAUCAGUAUUUGACUUUCAUUAGAAAUGCGUCUUCCCCUUAGUAACAUCUGUUUCUUUACAGCACUUUGUUUGUGCCAAAUGUGAGAAACCUUUCCUUGGUCACCGCCAUUAUGAGAGAAAAGGUUUGGCUUACUGUGAGACGCAUUACAAUCAGCUCUUUGGGGACGUGUGUUAUCACUGCAACCGUGUGAUUGAAGGCGAUGUUGUGUCUGCUCUCAACAAAGCCUGGUGUGUCAGUUGUUUCUCCUGCUCCACCUGCAACACCAAGCUCACUCUCAAGUAAGUCUUAAUAUGUUCAUUGAUGCAAACCAUAAAAUCUAGUCACAUGCAACUCUUCCACCUCAUGUUUGUUGUGCCUCUUACUUUUCUUUAACACAUCUCAUGUGCCUU
Molecule: long non-coding RNA, 510 nt
Organism: Poecilia latipinna (sailfin molly)
Lineage: Eukaryota; Metazoa; Chordata; Actinopteri; Cyprinodontiformes; Poeciliidae
Exons: 3
Source: RefSeq, a predicted model, not a curated record